This 449-nucleotide ribosomal RNA is filed under the name uncultured bacterium. Its description in RNAcentral is "partial 16S ribosomal RNA". It matches the Rfam family "Bacterial small subunit ribosomal RNA", at positions 330 to 795 of the family's 1533-position model. The record is from RNAcentral.
UCCAGACUCCUACGGGAGGCAGCAGUGGGGGAUAUUGCACAAUGGGGGGAACCCUGAUGCAGCGACGCCGCGUGGGUGAAGGAGCGUUUCGGCGCGUAAAGCCCUAUCGGCAGGGAAGAAGGAGGACGGUACCUGACUAAGAAGCCCCGGCUAACUACGUGCCAGCAGCCGCGGUAAUACGUAGGGGGCAAGCGUUAUCCGGAUUUACUGGGUGUAAAGGGGGCGCAGACGGCAGCGCAAGCCAGGAGUGAAAGCCCGGGGCCCAACCCCGGGACUGCUCUUGGAACUGCGCGGCUGGAGUGCAGGAGGGGCAGGCGGAAUUCCUGGUGUAGCGGUGAAAUGCGUAGAUAUCAGGAGGAACACCGGUGGCGAAGGCGGCCUGCUGGACGGCGACUGACGUUGAGGCCCGAAAGCGUGGGGAGCAAACAGGAUUAGAUACCCCAGUAGAC